AGCCAUGAACAGCAACAGGCACAUUCGUCGAUUUGUUAAAGAGGAGAAGAAGAAAUAGUGAUGCAAAGGACUCCUACAUUAAAGCCAUGAGAUCGUUGUUGCUGCCAGAAGGGGGUUUAAAAAACUUGCGGAGGGCUCUCACGGAUGAGUUUGUUGUGGGAUUUAAUGUUAAAGGCCUUUCUGGAAAAAAAGCCGUAAACUCCUUUACACAUUUCUAUGGUGCACUUCACGAUAUUGUUUCAGAAUCUGGUAAUGCAGAAAUAU
Long non-coding RNA from Drosophila takahashii, 264 nucleotides. RefSeq lists it as uncharacterized. NCBI's taxonomy places the organism in Eukaryota, Metazoa, Arthropoda, Insecta, Diptera, Drosophilidae. The record is from RefSeq and is a predicted model, not a curated record.